RNAcentral lists this ribosomal RNA (323 nucleotides) under uncultured bacterium. RNAcentral describes it as "bacterial SSU rRNA". It matches the Rfam family "Bacterial small subunit ribosomal RNA", at positions 82 to 422 of the family's 1533-position model. The record is from RNAcentral.
GUAGCAAUACGGAGCGGCAGACGGGUGAGUAACACGUGGGAACGUACCCUUUGGUUCGGAACAACACAGGGAAACUUGUGCUAAUACCGGAUAAGCCCUUACGGGGAAAGAUUUAUCGCCGAAGGAUCGGCCCGCGUCUGAUUAGCUAGUUGGUGGGGUAACGGCCCACCAAGGCUACGAUCAGUAGCUGGUCUGAGAGGAUGAUCAGCCACACUGGGACUGAGACACGGCCCAGACUCCUACGGGAGGCAGCAGUUAGGAAUCUUGGACAAUGGGCGCAAGCCUGAUCCAGCCAUGCCGCGUGAGUGAUGAAGGCCUUAGGG